UGACGCUGAGGUCCGAAAGCGUGGGGAGCAAACAGGACUAGAUACCCUGGUAGUCCACGCCGUAAACUAUGGACACUAGGUAUGGGGAGUAUCGACCCUCUCUGUGCCGAAGCUAACGCUUUAGGUGUCCCGCCUGGGGAGUACGGUCGCAAGACUAAAACUCAAAGGAAUUGACGGGGGCCCGCGCAGGCAGCGGAGCGUGUGGUUUAAUUCGAUGCAACACGAAGAACCUUACCAGGGCUUGACAUGUCGGAAGUAGGCAUCCGAAAGGAGGACGACCUGUUAAGUCAGGAGCCGACUCAGGUGCUGCAUGGUUGUCGUCAGCUCGUGCCGUGAGGUGUAGGGUUAAGUCCCAUAACGAGCGCAACCCUCGUUGCCAGUUAAUUUCUCUGGCG
This 395-nucleotide ribosomal RNA is filed under the name uncultured bacterium. RNAcentral describes it as "bacterial SSU rRNA". It matches the Rfam family "Bacterial small subunit ribosomal RNA", at positions 741 to 1145 of the family's 1533-position model. The record is from RNAcentral.